UCGAGCGGAAACGAGUUAUCUGAACCUUCGGGGAACGAUAACGGCGUCGAGCGGCGGACGGGUGAGUAAUGCCUAGGAAAUUGCCCUGAUGUGGGGGAUAACCAUUGGAAACGAUGGCUAAUACCGCAUAAUGCCUACGGGCCAAAGAGGGGGACCUUCGGGCCUCUCGCGUCAGGAUAUGCCUAGGUGGGAUUAGCUAGUUGGUGAGGUAAUGGCUCACCAAGGCGACGAUCCCUAGCUGGUCUGAGAGGAUGAUCAGCCACACUGGAACUGAGACACGGUCCAGACUCAUACGGGAGGCAGCAGUGGGGAAUAUUGCACAAUGGGCGCAAGCCUGAUGCAGCCAUGCCGCGUGUGUGAAGAAGGCCUUCGGGUUGUAAAGCACUUUCAGUCGUGAGGAAGGUGGUGUAGUUAAUAGCUGCAUUACUUGACGUUAGCGACAGAAGAAGCACCGGCUAACUCCGUGCCAGCAGCCGCGGUAAUACGGAGGGUGCGAGCGUUAAUCGGAAUUACUGGGCGUAAAGCGCAUGCACGUGGUUUGUUACGUCAGAUGUGAAAGCCCGGGGGCUCACCUCGGAAUAGCAUUUGGAACUGGCAGACUACAGUACUGUAGAGGGGGG
RNAcentral lists this ribosomal RNA (620 nucleotides) under Vibrio owensii. Its description in RNAcentral is "bacterial SSU rRNA". It matches the Rfam family "Bacterial small subunit ribosomal RNA", at positions 62 to 661 of the family's 1533-position model. The record is from RNAcentral. Lineage: Bacteria; Pseudomonadati; Pseudomonadota; Gammaproteobacteria; Vibrionales; Vibrionaceae.